UAGGGAACAGAGGAUGAUUCAUGA
Molecule: unclassified non-coding RNA, 24 nt
Filed under: Mus musculus (house mouse)
Lineage: Eukaryota; Metazoa; Chordata; Mammalia; Rodentia; Muridae
Description: oocyte_clustered_small_RNA11632
Source: RNAcentral